Molecule: ribosomal RNA, 497 nt
Filed under: uncultured bacterium
Lineage: Bacteria
Description: partial 16S ribosomal RNA
Rfam family: Bacterial small subunit ribosomal RNA
Source: RNAcentral
GAUGAACGCUGGCGGCGUGUCUAAUACAUGCAAGUCGAGCGAACAGACGAGGAGCUUGCUCCUCUGACGUUAGCGGCGGACGGGUGAGUAACACGUGGAUAACCUACCUAUAAGACUGGGAUAACUUCGGGAAACCGGAGCUAAUACCGGAUAAUAUAUUGAACCGCAUGGUUCAAUAGUGAAAGACGGUUUUGCUGUCACUUAUAGAUGGAUCCGCGCCGCAUUAGCUAGUUGGUAAGGUAACGGCUUACCAAGGCAACGAUGCGUAGCCGACGUGAGAGGGUGAUCGGCCACACUGGAACUGAGACACGGUCCAGACUCCUACGGGAGGCAGCAGUAGGGAAUCUUCCGCAAUGGGCGAGAGCCUGACGGAGCAACGCCGCGUGAGUGAUGAAGGUCUUCGGAUCGUAAAACUCUGUUAUUAGGGAAGAACAAAUGUGUAAGUAACUAUGCACGUCUUGACGGUACCUAAUCAGAAAGCCACGGCUAACUACGUG